This 2042-nucleotide long non-coding RNA is filed under the name Helianthus annuus (common sunflower). RNAcentral describes it as "hypothetical non coding rna". The record is from RNAcentral. Lineage: Eukaryota; Viridiplantae; Streptophyta; Magnoliopsida; Asterales; Asteraceae.
UACACAGAGAUCAUUUACUCCAAACAUUCAUUUGGACCACAUUUAAGGCUCUGAGCCUAGAGUUCACACCAACGAGGAUAUUCCGGCGAUCUUAUACUCGUCGGAAUAAGCUCCUCAUCCUCCGGCAUGGUUACUUAUUCUCACGUCGGAGCUUGGUCAUGGAUUCCCCCUCCGGGGUCCUCCGUGACGAGGCUAACGAUGUUCUUUUUUGUAGGAAGACGACAUCAAUUCAUUACAACGUUGAUGAGCCUCGUUGAUCUUCUACAGGGACUCGACAUAUAAGAUUGUAAUCUACUUAAUCUAUACAUGAGUAAAAUUAUUGGGGAAAAGAUACGUGUAAGAAACCUCGUAAAAGGUACGUACAGAAGUAAGUAUAACUUUUCUUUUUAACUUUCUAAAUAUAAUAUUUUAUCUCCCGCCUUUGCAAAUAAAAUAAUCAAGUAUAUAUUUAAUUCAGAAUUUUUGAGUUUAAUGAAAGGACAUCGUUUCUAUACAACUCACUAGUUCCACUAGUGGGUUAAUAUUAUCGAUUUUAUCGGCGUGAAUUGAAUUUUAUAUAAUAACAAUUGAUGAAAGGCCUUAGGAACAGUACACUAAUUGACCAAGUUUUGAAUCAUAUUUACGGUACUGCCACUAUUUCUUUUUGUCCAACAUAGCGAGGGAGGGGAUCAGAUAAACGGUAGAGAGAAGCAGAAAGAGAGAGAGAGAUAAUCGAAGCGACGCCAGCCUGUUCCAGUGACCAUCUCUCUUCUGCCCCCGUUCCAGCGACGACGAGUGUCGUUGAUACUAGAGGUUAAUGGUGAUUAUUGACUCAAAAGGAAGCAGACCAUAGCGCCUAAGGUUCUAGCAGAACUCCGGCGAGUCAGACAUGUUGUGCGUGUUCCGUUUUGGUGUAGAUCGGCAAGCACCAAGAAGGAAUCAAGGAAAUGCGUGACACAGACUAACAUAGAAACGGGACGGGAGUGAAGGUAGAGAUAGUGUCCUCCACCAAUCCUUACGGCGGACUCACGGCAGCGCACCGACGGUGACAAGCGACAGUGGUUCCAUCAAUGAUGUCGGUUCGGUGUUACAGGCGACCGGAGGACGAGGGUUCCAUGAUCAGUGAUGUCGGUUCGGUGGUGUCCAGGUGGUGUACGAUGUCGAAGGGAGGCGGUGGCAGAAUUUGGAACUAGGGUUCCGGCCGGUUACCAUAUCCCACAGCCGAUCUGGCUUCAAGACGAUGUCCCCGGCAACAUGCAAUGGCCGGGCAGUUAGGGUUUCGCCCCAAACAGGGGGUGUUUCAUGUGGUGCUCUCCGGCGACGUCAGGUGGUGACGGAGUAACAGAAGCAGGUGACAAUAUCCGGUAACAAUUGUUUUUGGUGUCCAGGUGCAAUCCGUCGAUCGGCUGGUCUGGUCCUAAUUCUAAUAAUCAGUGUUUCGCCUUCUCUUGCACCGACGUAACUCCUGAUUCACCCGUGUUCGCUUCAAUUUAUGUGUUUUAAGUAAGCUCCCAAGUCUCAGGUACGUGCAGUCCGUUACGAGAUGAGGAUGGGCAACAAACAUUUCUGCAAGCACGUCAACAUACGUCUAUUCUUGCACCACGUGUUCCGAAGGAUCUGUUUUUUACUUCGUCUUCUUAUGUCGCGGGUAUUGUGAAGCACUAAAGUGCGCUUCUGGUAUGCGGAAAAGUAUUUCGUUGUCUUCCUUACAUCAAAGACCCAAGCCAGUCGCGAUAGUGGGUCAGUUUUGUUAAUUGCAGGUUGCAAUUCUUAACAUACCAGUUUCAAAGUUGUGCAUUGCUGGUAACAAGACACAUAUGUAGAGAACAAAAUUGCUCAGACCUUGACGAGUGUCAACCGUGUUACUACAAAGGAUUCUUAAUAAAUCAGAUUGCGUAGAGUGUCACUGCUGGUAAGAUUUUAUUAAUUGCAAAUUGUAUUUUUUAUUAUGUGAGCUUCAUAGUUGGUAAGUUGUAUGUAAGGGGACAAGUAUGUAAGGUACAUGUGAUGUGUCAUAUUGCAAAUGCUGAGUUUCAUGUUUUUAUGGGUUUUAUUUUUUUUUU